This 424-nucleotide ribosomal RNA is filed under the name Verrucomicrobiota bacterium. RNAcentral's name for it is "Verrucomicrobia bacterium partial 16S ribosomal RNA". It matches the Rfam family "Bacterial small subunit ribosomal RNA", at positions 355 to 776 of the family's 1533-position model. Lineage: Bacteria; Pseudomonadati; Verrucomicrobiota. The record is from RNAcentral.
UGAGGAAUAUUGGUCAAUGGACGAGAGUCUGAACCAGCCAAGUAGCGUGCAGGAUGACGGCCCUAUGGGUUGUAAACUGCUUUUGUUUGGGAAUAAUCGACAUUACGUGUAAUGUUUUGCAUGUACCAUUCGAAUAAGGACCGGCUAAUUCCGUGCCAGCAGCCGCGGUAAUACGGAAGGUUCGGGCGUUAUCCGGAUUUAUUGGGUUUAAAGGGAGCGUAGGCCGUUUGGUAAGCGUGUUGUGAAAUGUAGGAGCUCAACUUCUAGAUUGCAGCGCGAACUGUCAGACUUGAGUGCGCACAACGUAGGCGGAAUUCAUGGUGUAGCGGUGAAAUGCUUAGAUAUCAUGAAGAACUCCGAUUGCGAAGGCAGCUUACGGGAGCGCAACUGACGCUGAAGCUCGAAGGUGCGGGUAUCGAACAGG